CCGCAGUUUUUAUGGCAUCGAUAAAAUGCCACUUCCUGUGGCCGGAGCUCCCCAAGAAGACAGACUAGCUGAUACCCUGCACCAUAUGGCUGGCAGUGAUGGGGAAAUUCAUUUGCCAUUGGGGGGAGUGAGGCUGUGUGUGUGCUUCUGUGGAGUGCAGAGCGCCGUGCCACCUGGUGGCAAGCAAAUACGAGUACUCGUGGAUGCUGAAUUAAAGGAUUGCCCGUGCGAUAUAUCUAUAAAAAGAAACAUUUAUAUGUACA
RNAcentral lists this long non-coding RNA (263 nucleotides) under Drosophila guanche. The record is from RNAcentral. Lineage: Eukaryota; Metazoa; Arthropoda; Insecta; Diptera; Drosophilidae.